UAAUACGGAGGGAGCGAGCGUUGUUCGGAAUCACUGGGCGUAAAGGGCGCGUGGGCGGCCGAGUAAGUCGUGUGUGAAAGACCGGGGCUCAACUCCGGUAUUGCAUGCGAUACUGCUCGGCUAGAGAAAGGUAGAGGCGAGUGGAAUUCCCGGUGUAGCGGUGGAAUGCGUAGAUAUCGGGAAGAACACCUGUGGCGAAGGCGGCUCGCUGGGCCUUUUCUGACGCUGAAGUGCGAAAGCGUGGGGAGCAAACAGGAUUAGAUACCCUGGUAGUCCACGCCGUAAACGAUGGGCACUAGGCGUUGGGAGGAUUGACCCUCUCAGUGCCGUAGCUAACGCGUUAAGUGCCCCGCCUGGGGAGUACGGCCGCAAGGCUGA
RNAcentral lists this ribosomal RNA (378 nucleotides) under uncultured Gemmatimonadota bacterium. Its description in RNAcentral is "bacterial SSU rRNA". It matches the Rfam family "Bacterial small subunit ribosomal RNA", at positions 521 to 897 of the family's 1533-position model. Lineage: Bacteria; Pseudomonadati; Gemmatimonadota. The record is from RNAcentral.